RNAcentral lists this unclassified non-coding RNA (1477 nucleotides) under Manduca sexta (tobacco hornworm). RNAcentral's name for it is "peripherin-2, transcript variant X1". Lineage: Eukaryota; Metazoa; Arthropoda; Insecta; Lepidoptera; Sphingidae. The record is from RNAcentral.
UGUUUUAAUCUGAGGUUUUAAUAUUACUCUUUGGAUCACAAUGACAUAAAAAUUUAGACAUAGAUAAUUUUAUGUGUCUUUUCUUGGUCUCUUUGCAUAGAUUACACGUAAUUGUAAUUUUUAAGCUUAUUAGGGAUCAUUUAUAUUUUGACUUAUCAGCUUAUUUUCUAUAUUAUUAUUAUUAAGACAAGUUAUUAAUUUUACUUAUUUUUGAGAAAUGAAAGCUAAAGGCCCUAAUCAUCCUUUUGUGGUAUGGGCUUCAUAUUUUUUAUGGCUCAUAUCUUUAUUUUCAAUAACGUGGUCGCUGCUGUUGUUUCUUUUUGUUGGAGAUAUGCUAAUAAUAACUGGAACUGAUCUGGUGAAUGCAUUCGUACUACUCUCGGGCAUAAUAAUGCUGCCUACUAAUGUGCACAUGUUGUAUUCUAUUGCAAGCGGAAAAAAACUUGACCAUAAAGCUAAGGUCGUUUGCUGUCCCAUCUGGCUGUGCAUAGUAUGGAUAAUAAUAAUUAAUUUUGUCGGGGUUAUACUAUGUAUCCAGAGGAUACGAUUAUGCCAAGAAACCGUCAUGAGGAAUUUAUCAAUGGGAAUGCGAAACUACAGGAAUAUGCCCAAAUACAAACAUUUUAUAGACAAUUUGCAGUGGGUGCUUGGCUGCUGCGGGCUCAAUUCAUACAAAGAUUGGUUUGAUCACGACUGGUGCGACAAAAUGCGAGACUAUGAAUGGGACCCGUCUAUUAAUAAACGCGUUGCUCAAAAUAAAAAACAACCAACGGCUACAGACAGCGUGCCACUGAGCUGUUGCAAAAGUGGAUCGUGUAUAUCAAAUUAUUUAUUGGAACUGGGUUCGUAUUCAAUUAACACAAAUGGCUGUGGAGACUUGGUAUACCAAAUAAUAACAAUAUCGAUGAACGUACAUCUAGUAAUGUUUCUUACUAUAAUUAUUGUAGAGGAGCGGUUACCUAAAGUACCCUCGAUAUGUUUAUUAUGCAAAUUUACUAUUCAACAGCUUAUUAUACUCAAAUGUAUAGUUAAAAAAAAUAAGUCACCCUGUAAAUCUAAACGAAACAAAUUAAAUGUAAGACAUAUAAUGCCGAUAAAAAAUAAUUUCAAUGCGUCAAGUGAAUCUUUGCAACUAAAUCCCGACGAUAGUGAAGAUUUGGAUGAAAGUGCGGUACAAGUUGAACGUAUUAAAAUGGACAUUUACAAAAGUGCUGGUCUAAAUCAAUACCAAGGCUGUGUGGAUUCUAUGGAAAGAGUAUUCGAAUGACCUUCACUCAUACAAUCUUAUCAAUAUUUUUAUAAAAAUAUUAUGUUUUGUGUAAAAGGUUGUAAAAAAGUAAUAUUAUCUACCUGCUUAGGUACCUAUUGAGAUCAUAGAACGUAGCUAAUUUAGUAUCGAUAUUACCAAUCAUUCGAUAUAUAAUUGCAUCCCUAGUACCCUAAGCGUCAAUUUGACAAAACAUAUGUAAGACUAGGC